RNAcentral lists this ribosomal RNA (444 nucleotides) under uncultured bacterium. RNAcentral describes it as "bacterial SSU rRNA". It matches the Rfam family "Bacterial small subunit ribosomal RNA", at positions 954 to 1402 of the family's 1533-position model. The record is from RNAcentral.
GAUUAACGCGAAGAACCUUACCUACCCUUGACAUGGUCGGAAUCCUGCUGAGAGGUGGGAGUGCUCGAAGGAGAACCGGCGCACAGGUGCUGCAUGGCCGUCGUCAGCUCGUGUCGUGAGAUGUUGGGUUAAGUCCCGCAACGAGCGCAACCCUUGUCCUUAGUUGCUACGCAAGAGCACUCUAAGGAGACCGCCGGUGACAAACCGGAGGAAGGUGGGGACGACGUCAAGUCCUCAUGGCCCUUAUGGGUAGGGCUUCACACGUCAUACAAUGGUCGGAACAGAGGGUUGCCAACCCGCGAGGGGGAGCUAAUCCCAGAAAACCGAUCGUAGUCCGGAUUGCACUCUGCAACUCGAGUGCAUGAAGCUGGAAUCGCUAGUAAUCGCGGAUCAGCAUGCCGCGGUGAAUACGUUCCCGGGCCUUGUACACACCGAAUCACUAGU